Molecule: long non-coding RNA, 2440 nt
Organism: Cydia pomonella (codling moth)
Lineage: Eukaryota; Metazoa; Arthropoda; Insecta; Lepidoptera; Tortricidae
Exons: 3
Source: RefSeq, a predicted model, not a curated record
UUUACGCUUUGUUAUCAUCUUUUUAUUUUUAAGGUAUGGUUUUCAAGAGCUCUAAUAUUUGUAAUGUAUGCAUGAAAUCAUAUGGCAAGAGAACCUAAAUCGUUUUGGAACUAUAUGAACUCUAAAAGAAACAGUAGAGACUACAUGAGGGAAAGACAGCAGUAUGUAGAUUAUGAAGAGCACAGAUUGAAUCCAGCAGUGACAUGGGCCAUUUGUUCAAUAGAAUAUCUUGGUUAUAUGGAGAUUGGCUGAGAAAGCAAGGUGUAUGCUACAAGGUGCAGGUUUCUGCAAAAUAUAUUAGGGAGCUGAUACAGGCAGCCAGAAUGAGUCUGCUGGGUCGCCGGCGCCGGACGCGCGACGCGCGCCGCGGGCGUCUGACGUCUUCGUGUCUCUCGCCAGUUGCAGGGGAAGAUGCGAAUAGUUAUAAAGGCGUGCAUGACGUCUCUAAAAAAUGAUAGAUAUAAUACUAAUAUUGUUGCCCGAGGUAUUACUCAAGUUCACGGGGUAGAUUACAGGUGUAGUGCAUAAUCGUAGAUCAAAAUUAGUACAUUACGAUAUACUCGUAUAAGGAGUGUACCGAAAAAAAACUGUAAACUUCAAAUGAAAAAAAAACUGAUGCAGUUGAGAACAAAUUAAGGUUUUUAGAAUAACUACAAUAAAAAGCGACUUUUAAUUUAGAUAAUUGUCACUUUUUUUAUUUGUUCUGUAGGAGUGAUAGGCAGCUUGUUCCUAGCGCAUUCAGUGGCAGCUUUUGACGGACCCGUUUUCCAUAUUUGCCUGCAUCACCCCGUCACCUGCUGGAAUUGUUAAUGUUUAUUGGCUAUUUCAUUCUUCUCUUUUAAUACACUUUUGAUUUGAGCCCAAUAAUAGUUGAUAGAACGGCACUGCAGGACGUUUGGAGCUCGUACUCUAUUCUAUGUCAACUGCCAAAUGCGAUUUUUGUAGGAAGGAAAUUGUAUGAUUUUCGAUUUGGCCUAGAAUGAUUAUUAUUCCAAGAUUAAUAAUUCUGGUUUUACGCUGUUCGACUUUACACCGGCAAAUAAAAGAGAUGCCUAAAAAUAUUAAUCAACAUCUCCAAAAUAAUCAGUUUCUAAAAAUGCAACAUUUUAAAACAUAAAUUUAAGAAAGAGAUCAACAUUUAAACACACUUUUAGUGCUUUAUAGGUUUCUAGAACAUAUAAGUCAUUAAGUUACAUUCUUAUUUUGGUAAAAAAAUAGCAAAAACGUCUCAGAAAAAAUUUAAAUAAUCAUGUCCAAAAAUUGCCAAUUUUUGAGUUUAUUACUAAUCUACUCAAACUUUAAAACUGAAAAAAAAAUACUUAAAAACAUAUUUUUUGUGCUUUUAACCUAGGUAUUAGAUACUUGCAACAUAAUCAUUCUUACUCUGUCAAUAAGAAAUUUAUACCUCUAAUUAAUUUUGAACCUACGAAAGUCUGACAUCUUAUUUUCACAUUUAUAAGCGAAUUUGUUAAUUAAUUGUACUUAAUGUUAAGUUUGUGUUAAAUGUAUUACUGUAAAGUUGUCCAUUAGGUGAAAUAUAUGUGAAAGUCGCUUCUAACCUAACAGAAUACGCAAACGUGGAGUCACGGGACCGGCUUAGCCUAGUGUGACCCACAAAAUUUAUGUAAUUGUAUCUGAUUUUUAAAAAUAAAAUUUUACUUUACAAUCUGUACCUGUUAUAUACCUUUUUAGGGUUCCGUAGUCAACUAGGAACCCUUAUAGUAUCGCCAUGUCCGUCUGUCUGUCUGCACCGGAAAGCUACCUAUGUUUUUAUAAUAAUUAUCUGGUGCUUUAUUUCAUGCAUGGUGUGAAAUAAUUUAUUUUAAAUACAGUCAAAUUACGGGCAUCUUACCAGUCUACCAUAGGGCAAAUCUGAAAUGGGUCAAGGUCGGUGCAGUGACAAAAAAAAAAACAUUUUACCUCCUUUUCUACAUAAUUAGGCGUAGUUCGCUGUCUUUUGUAUGUUUCGAGUUUGCAAUAUUCUUACCCCCGGAGUUACACACAAUGUUUUUCAUCACACUUGCGAAGAAAAAAAACAAAAUUUUAAGCGAAAUAAUUCUUCGUGACAUAUAUCAUACAUUCGUCCGAUUUCUUGGAAGGUGAGGCAUCGAAGGCACAGACCUAUUCGGCAUUCAGCCACGAUUGAAAAUUAAGUAAAAAUAUUUUAAUCGGAUGUUAAAAUAAUCAAAUUAAAUAAUUUUAAACAUAAACAAAAAUUAAAUUAUAAACGUCAGUAUUUUAAAAGUAAAACUCAUUUAUGCUACUUGGUUUGUAUGAAUAAGUGACAUAAUUAAAGAAAAAGCUAUAACUCCCUAGGGAGUUAUAGCUUUUUUUUCACAAUCCAUAAAUCCCGCGGCAACAAAGUAGGCCUUUGUCCUUCAGCACACCUGCAUGAAAUAAGAUCUUUUUCGAGCAAGUGUGAUGAAAAGAUUAUUGUUGA